Molecule: ribosomal RNA, 401 nt
Filed under: uncultured bacterium
Lineage: Bacteria
Description: bacterial SSU rRNA
Rfam family: Bacterial small subunit ribosomal RNA
Source: RNAcentral
GGAAUUUUGCGCAAUGGGGGAAACCCUGACGCAGCAACGCCGCGUGAGUGAGGAAGGCCUUCGGGUUGUAAAGCUCUUUCAGCAGGGAAGAAACAAAUGACGGUACCUGUAGAAGAAGCACCGGCUAACUCCGUGCCAGCAGCCGCGGUAAUACGGAGGGUGCAAGCGUUACUCGGAUUUACUGGGCGUAAAGAGCACGUAGGCGGUUUGGUAAGUCUGAUGUGAAAGCCCUGGACUCAAUCCAGGAAGUGCAUUGGAUACUGCCAGGCUAGAGUACAGGAGGGGUGAGCGGAAUUCCAGGUGUAGAGGUGAAAUUCGUAGAUAUCUGGAGGAACAACGGAGGCGAAGGCGACUCACUGGACUGUAACUGACGCUGAGGUGCGAAAGCGUGGGGAGCGAAC